Molecule: transfer RNA, 74 nt
Filed under: Sudis atrox (fierce pike smelt)
Lineage: Eukaryota; Metazoa; Chordata; Actinopteri; Aulopiformes; Paralepididae
Description: tRNA-Leu
Rfam family: tRNA
About the family: Transfer RNA (tRNA) molecules are approximately 80 nucleotides in length. Their secondary structure includes four short double-helical elements and three loops (D, anti-codon, and T loops).
Source: RNAcentral
AUUUGGGUGGCAGAGUUCGGAUAUUGCAAAAGACCUAAGCCCUUUCCACGGAGGUUCAAAUCCUCCCCCAAAUA